GUACCCUUAGCUCAGCUGGUCAGAGCAGACGGCUCAUAACCAUCCGGUCGUAGGUUCGAGUCCCACAUGGUCCA
RNAcentral lists this transfer RNA (74 nucleotides) under Bacillus pseudomycoides. RNAcentral describes it as "tRNA-Met". It matches the Rfam family "tRNA". Rfam says of the family: Transfer RNA (tRNA) molecules are approximately 80 nucleotides in length. Their secondary structure includes four short double-helical elements and three loops (D, anti-codon, and T loops). Further hydrogen bonds mediate the characteristic L-shaped molecular structure. tRNAs have two regions of fundamental functional importance: the anti-codon, which is responsible for specific mRNA codon recognition, and the 3' end, to which the tRNAs corresponding amino acid is attached (by aminoacyl-tRNA synthetases). tRNAs cope with the degeneracy of the genetic code in two manners: having more than one tRNA (with a specific anti-codon) for a particular amino acid; and 'wobble' base-pairing, i.e. permitting non-standard base-pairing at the 3rd anti-codon position. Lineage: Bacteria; Bacillati; Bacillota; Bacilli; Caryophanales; Bacillaceae. The record is from RNAcentral.